This 381-nucleotide unclassified non-coding RNA is filed under the name uncultured bacterium. Its description in RNAcentral is "contains 16S-23S intergenic spacer region". The record is from RNAcentral.
UCCGGUUUGGCACCGGCAGUCCUCCCAGAGUCCCCGACUUGACUCGCUGGCAACUGGGAGCGGGGGUUGCGCUCGUUGCGGGACUUAACCCAACACCUCACGGCACGAGCUGACGACAGCCAUGCAGCACCUGUGCAAUUCGCCUUGCGGGGUCGUUACCCUUUCGGGCUUCUACCACGUGCAUGUCAAGGCCAGGUAAGGUUCUUCGCGUUGCAUCGAAUUGAGCCACAUACUCCACCGCUUGUGCAGGCCCCCGUCAAUUCCUUUGAGUUUCAGCCUUGCGGCCGUACUCCCCAGGCGGGGCACUUAUCGCGUUAGCUGCGGCACCGAAGGGGUCGCUCCCCCCGGCACCUAGUGCCCAUCGUUUACGGCGUGGACUAC